This is a long non-coding RNA of Halichondria panicea, 3063 nucleotides long. RefSeq lists it as uncharacterized. NCBI's taxonomy places the organism in Eukaryota, Metazoa, Porifera, Demospongiae, Suberitida, Halichondriidae. The record is from RefSeq and is a predicted model, not a curated record. The transcript has 5 exons.
UUAAAAUUCUAGGCCGGGGGGCCCAAAAUUUUAUGACACCGGCCAACAGUUUUCGAACAGAUUUGUUUACUAAUUCUAUUUGAUGCGCACCUUCGCAGCCCCUCCCCUAGAAUUUAGCCACACCCCUAUACAUCUAUGGCGCAUGCGCACUAAUUUAUAUAAAUGCUGAAGCAGAAGCUGAACCUCACAUUUGCAGCAAGUUUGCAGUAUCAAUGUGACUGUCCAUCAUCUCUGAGUCUCUACAAAAGUGAAGUGAUCUCUUCAACAUGUCUCUACAUCUCAAGAAGCUCUACUCCACCUCUAAACCUUGCAGCUGCAAAUGUCCACUAAAGCUCAACAAUUGCUCUUAUUCGAUUCGAUUCUUAUAUACGCCCAGCCACGAAUAGAUAGUGUUCAUCACAACACGAAAUUCGAAAACGAACGAUCAACAACAACAAAAAGCACUCAACAGUCAUCUCAUUAUAUCAGACAUUAUUAUUCUGUUAGAGAGGGGCCCCUCACAGUAGUCAGUAUCUUUAAUUAUUCAUUUUUGUGACAGCAGUAUAACACAACAAGUGGCAGUAUCUGCUCUUGAGCACUGACUAAUUAAAUGAUCUGACAACACGAGACCACUGGGUGGAAUAUUGAAGUCAAGUCUAUCCACUACUGAACUAUUGAAGUCUAUAUCUGAACUAUAUUGAAGUACUGAAGUCUAUCCACUACUUAUGAAGACAAGUCUGGAACAUUUCUACUAACAUCACUGACACUGACACUGGCUAUCAACACUGCAGAUGGUGGUACUCACGCACAGACUGGUUGUGGUCUGAUAGUUAUGACGAGCCUUAUACGUACUGUAUAUCAAGCCUUAAAUCGUGUCUACUAAUGUCUACCCCCUAAUAAUCUAUUUCUCGCACUGCAUAGUUCUUGCUCUGGGGGACCAACUGGCAGAUCUGACAUACUGCACUGCAGAUGGUGACAUUUCAAGAAUCUACAUGAUUAGUAUAAUUAUGGGUUGUAGUUUGGCAUUAGAUAGUUAUCAAGCAAGCCUGGUAUAUUAGCAUGUAUGAGUACUAUCAGGCACUCCUGGUACUAUAUUGAUGAGUCCUAAUCUAUUUCUUACACUACAUGGUUCUUGCUCUGGAGGGGACCAACUGGCGGAAUUUGUAUAGAAAAGACUCUUUUAUGUCCGACACACUGGAUACUGGCAGCAUAUCGAGAACCUACAUAUCGGUUGUGGUCUAAUGAUUAAUAUAUUGAGCCUUACACCAUUCUAUCAAGCCUUGUGUAUAUUCGUACAUGUAUGAUUACUACUGAUAUGUCCUACCCCAACAACCAACUGCUUUACUAUAGUCUGUCUCUUUCAAACCUUGCAUCCCUGUAGAACCACUCACCAGCUGCAUGUAUUGUGUGCUUCAGACGUACCUAUAGUAUACUUCCUAUAACCCUAUUCUAACCAAAUUCUCCCACUACAUGGUUCUAGCUCUGGAGGACCAACCGUCAGAAUUUCUAGAAAGACUCGUUUAUUCGACACGCUGGACGAACUACUUGUGGCAUUUCACUAUCAAGAAUCUACAUGUCGCUUGUGGUGGUCUGACAAUUAUUCUUAUUUGAGCCUUAUACAGUAACAAGCCUUGUGUGUUACAUGACAUGAGUACCUAACCCCAUGCAUGCAUGUACCCUCUAAUAAUCUAUUUCUCCCACUACAUGGUUCUAGCUCUGGAUGACAACUGGCGGAACUUCUAUAAAAGACUCGUUUAUAUCCGACACUGGAUCGACAGCAUUUCAAACAAGAAUCUAUUAUAUCGGUUGUGGUCAAACAAGUUUAAAAUAAUAUUGAGCCUUAUACACAGCUAGUUACGUAGCAAGCCUUGUGUACAUGUGUGUGCUCUGUGUCCUAACCUCUACCCCUGGUGUCAUACAUGCAUUAUAGAGUUCUAGCUGGCUCUUGGGGACCAACUGGCAGAAUCUCUAGAAAGAACUCGUUUUUAUUCGACACACUGGCAUUUCACUAUCAAGAAUCUACAUAUCGGUUGUGGUCUGACAAUUAUUCUUAUUUGAGCCUUAUACAGUAACAAGCCUUGUGUGUUACAUGACAUGAGUACCUAACCCCAUGCAUGCAUGUACCCCCUAAUAAUCUAUUUCUCCCACUACAUGGUUCUUGCUCUGGAGGACAACUGGCGGAAUUUCUAUAAUAAAAUUAUAGAGAAAAAACUCCAUAUUACAUCUGACAGUAGAGGGACUGCUGGUGACAUCUACGUAUCGGUUGUGGUGGUCUGAUGAUUAAUUCGAAAUAAUUAUAAGCUUUUAUAUAUAAUUAUACAGUUCAAGCCUUGUAUAGUGUAAUUCCAUGUAUGAGGUAGUACUACGUAUGUGUCCUAACUCUACCCUUCACACUACAUGGUUCUGGCUCCGGGGGACCUACUGCACUGGAGGGAGUAUCCACCACGUCACAUACUGAAGCAAUGAUAGCUGCUGCAAUGAACCAUCAUACAUAACUCAUCACAAUCAUACUUUUGGGGCUCCCCAUCAUUUUUCAUUUCCUUUUCGUUUGUCAUACUGUAAAUGAAAAAUGAACUCGAUCUACUGGUUCUCUGGAGGGGGAGUGGUCAGACCACACCUACUACAACUGUGGCCACACCCACAUGAUGGCCACACCCUCAUGUUAGGCAACAGCAACUCUUACAUGAGAAUCUCCAUUGGAUAGCAAAUUCUAACCACCUGGAUGUAACUAAUUAGUCUCGUGGCCAGACUACCUUCUAAUAACCUGGACUGGGACAGCCUCUAGAUAUCCCAGAUGGUCCCAUGGGCGGAUGGGCGGGGGGCCAGCGAUGCAGUGCCACAUACUCGCGACGGUGCUGGCUGUCACACUGCAUGGAGGGAGGACUCUCUCUCUGCAUGGAGGAAGGACUAUCUCUCUGCAUGGAGGGAGGACUAUCUCUCUGCAUGGAGGGAGGACUCUCUCUCUCUCUCUCUGGUGUGCAAGAGCACUGCAAACUGAACAAUAAUUAUGAUAAUGAACAUACAAACAUUAUUGAACAUUAAUUUUACAAUGGUUGGUGUAAUGAAAAUGGCUUUUAAGUGUUA